This 398-nucleotide ribosomal RNA is filed under the name uncultured bacterium. RNAcentral describes it as "partial 16S ribosomal RNA". It matches the Rfam family "Bacterial small subunit ribosomal RNA", at positions 523 to 919 of the family's 1533-position model. The record is from RNAcentral.
AUACGUAGGUGGCAAGCGUUGUCCGGAAUUACUGGGUGUAAAGGGCGUGUAGGCGGGAGGACAAGUCAGAUGUGAAAGCCCAUGGCUUAACUGUGGAAUUGCAUCUGAAACUGUUUUUCUUGAGUGCUGGAGAGGAAAGUGGAAUUCCUAGUGUAGCGGUGAAAUGCGUAGAGAUUAGGAGGAACACCAGUGGCGAAGGCGGCUUUCUGGACAGUAACUGACGCUGAGGCGCGAAAGCGUGGGGAGCAAACAGGAUUAGAUACCCUGGUAGUCCACGCUGUAAACGAUGGAUACUAGGUGUGGGAGGUAUCGACCCCUUCCGUGCCGGAGUUAACACAAUAAGUAUCCCACCUGGGGAGUACGGCCGCAAGGCUGAAACUCAAAUGAAUUGACGGGGG